Long non-coding RNA from Pimephales promelas (fathead minnow), 266 nucleotides. RefSeq lists it as uncharacterized. The record is from RefSeq and is a predicted model, not a curated record. NCBI's taxonomy places the organism in Eukaryota, Metazoa, Chordata, Actinopteri, Cypriniformes, Leuciscidae.
CAAGAGCAUUCAUCAAAAAUGCAGAGCUCCCCGUUCCAUCCAAGUAAAACAUCUUUCAAACAGUGAGAACCUUCUAUGAAGCAGUUCUGAGAAAGAUGUUCAACUGCUUCCCACUUGACUCCCAACUCCUGAAGGACCUGAGAGGGCUGGACCCUGCAUCUCGGCCUCGCGUCACUCCAGGGACAGGACCACCUAUGAUGUACCGCUGGGACAAGCCACGACACAAUCUCUCCUGACUUUUGACAGAAUCAUCAUGGUCGGAGUCC